This 349-nucleotide unclassified non-coding RNA is filed under the name soil metagenome. RNAcentral describes it as "partial contains 5.8S ribosomal RNA, internal transcribed spacer 2, and large subunit ribosomal RNA". The stretch from base 1 to 120 matches the Rfam family "5.8S ribosomal RNA", at positions 35 to 154 of the family's 154-position model. The record is from RNAcentral.
GAUGAAGAACGCAGCGAAAUGCGAUAACUAAUGUGAAUUGCAGAAUUCCGUGAAUCAUCGAGUCUUUGAACGCACAUUGCGCCCCCUGGUAUUCCGGGGGGCAUGCCUGUCCGAGCGUCAUUGCUGCCCAUCAAGCACGGCUUGUGUGUUGGGUCCUCGUCCCCCCCGGGGGACGUGCCCGAAAGGCAGCGGCGGCACCGCGUCCGGUCCUCGAGCGUAUGGGGCUAUGUCACCCGCUCUGCAGGCCCGGCCGGCGCUGGCCGACGCGAAAGCAACCAUUUUUUCUCCAGGUUGACCUCGGAUCAGGUAGGGAUACCCGCUGAACUUAAGCAUAUCAAUAAGCGGAGGA